Molecule: long non-coding RNA, 950 nt
Organism: Stylophora pistillata
Lineage: Eukaryota; Metazoa; Cnidaria; Anthozoa; Scleractinia; Pocilloporidae
Source: RefSeq, a predicted model, not a curated record
AAUCUUCGUAUUUGAUCGCUUAUCAAUUCCUUUUUUCAUCAGGAAUUCCCAAAACAUCAAAUACUGGUGAGAAAGGUCCCCCUCUCAGUGCCAUGAUUUCCAUAGCAACCGCUGUACCAGUCAUUAUAAUUGUUGGUGUUGGCAUCUUUUGUUUGAGGAAACAAAGAAUACACAGGCAAAAAACGCCUAACACCAAUGGACAUUCCAAUCCAGCGUAUGAAGAUCCAAUGAGUAAGAAUAGAAUCUAUGAUGAAAUUGCAGAAUUGCAAGUUUCAAGGCCUCCUUCUCAUUAUCAGUCACUUAACAUGAACAAUCAAUCUCGUAUUUACGCGGAGCUUCAGAACUGUCACUCGGAAGCUUAGAGAACCGGUUCGACGACCUAACUUUAACUUUGUUGAAAUCACUCUCUUAACUACAGUCUUACGUACACUAGUUUUUAGACAACGAUAUAAAACAUAGUCACGAGUAAUGAAGAGAUUCGAUAUGCAAACUUCCUGGCGCUUACACAGCCAUAGGGGUCUGGGAAGAGUACGUAUCUUAAGCAAUGAUGGCGAAUCGAUUGUUGUUGGGACGACGGCCAUUUUUUUACCGGACAUGUAAGUGAAUAAUCCAUUGAAUUGAAUUUUUAAAUGACUACUUCCCGUUAAAAACUUACUCAGUGUUAGAGGGAGAGGGAUUAGGGAUUAAACAUCACUUUUAUUUCGCAACCUUAGACUUGACCGCACAAAAUAAACAAUUGUACUCUGUGCAAUAUAUCAAGGGGUUCCCCAGAGGAUUACUUGAUCUUGUUAAACAGUGUUUAUAUUCGAAAUAGCCGCCAUUCAACCGUGAAACUGCCUCUGUAAACAUUUCAAAUUCAUCUCUUGAACAGUGUAGUGCGUAAUAAUCAGAAAUGCAUUUGAAGUGUCAUGUAUAGUUACGAAUUCAGAAUAAAAUGUUUAUUCUUUGUG